GACGAACGCUGGCGGCGUGCUUAACACAUGCAAGUCGAACGGACAGGCCCUGCUUUUGUGGGGUGCUCGAGUGGCGAACGGGUGAGUAACACGUGAGUAACCUGCCCUUGACUUUGGGAUAACUUCAGGAAACUGGGGCUAAUACCGGAUAGGAGCUCCUGCUGCAUGGUGGGGGUUGGAAAGUUUCGGCGGUUGGGGAUGGACUCGCGGCUUAUCAGCUUGUUGGUGGGGUAGUGGCUUACCAAGGCUUUGACGGGUAGCCGGCCUGAGAGGGUGACCGGCCACAUUGGGACUGAGAUACGGCCCAGACGCCUACGGGAGGCAGCAGUGGGGAAUAUUGCACAAUGGGCGGAAGCCUGAUGCAGCAACGCCGCGUGCGGGAUGACGGCCUUCGGGUUGUAAACCGCUUUCGCCUGUGACGAAGCGUGAGUGACGGUAAUGGGUAAAGAAGCACCGGCUAACUACGUG
RNAcentral lists this ribosomal RNA (468 nucleotides) under uncultured bacterium. Its description in RNAcentral is "partial 16S ribosomal RNA". It matches the Rfam family "Bacterial small subunit ribosomal RNA", at positions 28 to 507 of the family's 1533-position model. The record is from RNAcentral.